UUUGGGAGAAUAUUAGAAAAUCUUUGUAUGGCUAUUCCUUCUCAGUGAUGUUCUGCCACGGACGGCAGAACAAGGCUUCACGAGCCAUGGAUGGCUCGUUGAACGCCGGGCACGUCACUCUGAAAUAUACUUUGUUAGGCAUACAUAGACUUUUCUUAUAUUCGUACAUC
This is a non-coding RNA of Roseburia sp. 831b, 170 nucleotides long. The record is from Rfam. Lineage: Bacteria; Bacillati; Bacillota; Clostridia; Lachnospirales; Lachnospiraceae.